This is a long non-coding RNA of Lytechinus variegatus (green sea urchin), 1751 nucleotides long. RefSeq lists it as uncharacterized. The record is from RefSeq and is a predicted model, not a curated record. The transcript has 2 exons. NCBI's taxonomy places the organism in Eukaryota, Metazoa, Echinodermata, Echinoidea, Temnopleuroida, Toxopneustidae.
AUCCCCACAUCAUUACCUUUCCAUUGAUAUAUAAUAAGACCACAUUCAUAAUCAAUACAUUUCUCCUUUAAGGAACAGCUUCAUAAAACACCAACCAGCUUGCCUUCCAAAUCAAUUGCAGAGGAAGUACUGCAGAGGAUCAAACCUGGCGACUCACAUAUAAGGCAAUGACAAGAAUUUAGGAAAGCAACAGGAGAUAUCUAAAGACUGUCCAAUAUCAGUUUUCCUGAAAACUUGAUACCUCCAGUGUGUUGACCCAUCAACAAAUUUACUAUAUGUGAAGUGUGGCAUGCAAAGUCUUCAAGUAAAUCAUGAAUAUUAAGUUAAUACUCCAUUAAAAGUGUGCUUAUUAUUAUCUCACAUGAUUUUUUCAGAGUGUAUUUUUUGCAUGAUGUGAUGAGUGUUCCUCUACAAUUUUUCUUCUUUGAAAAUACCCAAAUGAAAAUACAUGCAUUUGUACUUACCCGGUACAUGGUAUGGACUCAACACAAAGAACACUUGAAAUACAUUCAGACGUUUUGUUGUUGUUGAUAUUUACUAUUAUCACAAGCAUACAUAAUUACAAUACUAUAAUAAUAUACACAAAAAAAAUUCAUGUAUGUGUACUGUAUGUACAUCUCAGAAAUACAGUAAAUUUCUACCUUUGUCAAUUCAGUACAAAAUAUAGAAAUGGUUUAGUCCAGACAUGGUGCAGCAAAGCUCAGUAAGAUAUUGUUUACAAAGUCAAUGGGAUUUGAGGCAACCAACAAUGGAUUGUAGAAAGACAGGGACAUUAUUUUUGCUGCCUGGCUACAACUUAAGAGGACUACUACUUAAUUCUUGAACAGUAUAAGUAAGAUGUUUCAUGUCCAAAAUGUACAUACUUGAAACAAAACAAAAAACAUCUUGGGACAUAUUUUGAUUAUCAAAUCAUUAUAGGUAACUGUGACAUGAUUUCUUUCAGUACAGCUAUAGACAAUUUUAGAUUUAACCCAUAUGAAGCACAUUUGGCACAAUAUAUCUCACUCUGUUAGAACACUGUAAAAAUAUUACUGAGUUUGCCACAAUAUUUCUGGAAAAAGACAUAAAGGAAUGUGAAUCACCCGAAACAUUCAAAUUAGAGAAAUAUGAAGUUAUAGUAGAUCAAUGAAUAUGAUGGACCAUUGACUUAAAUGGUUAUUUAACUUGCAUGAAAACAGCAUAGGCAAAGUAGACUACGGUAGAUGAAAUUGGCAAACACAUUACUUCACAAAUAUACAUGUACGGAGGGAGAACAUAUCAGUAACUAUGGAAUGCUUUGGACUCUCCAUCCUAAGUGCUAACAAAUAUAUAAAAUUAACAUUAUAAUCUAUAGAAAGAAAUGCUAUUGUAAUUCAUGGGGAUAGCUACUGUAAUACAUAUACAUCCAUGCCAUAACAAUGGUACUCAACAAAAUUAUCACCAUUUAUAUAGUUUAGUGGUAUACAAUCUGAGUGAACUAUAAACCCUAAGCCCACCCCACCAAUGGUGAAAUUCACAGAUUGCUAGUUCAAUAAUAUAUAAUCUGAGUGACCACCAUCCCCCCCCCCCAUUUAAGUAAAUAAAGAUUAAAAUGUGAAGGGGACAUAAUUUUUUUUAAAUACGUGUCAUUUAAUCAAGUGUCGGUGAUGACCAUAUAACCUAUACAAAACUUUAAAUUAGAAUUAAAAACAAAGGCCUGAAUUCACAAAGAAACUAAUUUCAAAAUGGUUUUCUCGAUUCAAAUCACAUAGAAGUGGUUUAAAAUGAAAUUU